UACGUAGGGUGCAAGCGUUAAUCGGAAUUACUGGGCGUAAAGCGUGCGCAGGCGGCCAUGCAAGACAGAUGUGAAAUCCCCGGGCUUAACCUGGGAACUGCAUUUGUGACUGCAUGGCUAGAGUACGGCAGAGGGGGAUGGAAUUCCGCGUGUAGCAGUGAAAUGCGUAGAUAUGCGGAGGAACACCGAUGGCGAAGGCAAUCCCCUGGGCCUGUACUGACGCUCAUGCACGAAAGCGUGGGGAGCAAACAGG
RNAcentral lists this ribosomal RNA (253 nucleotides) under uncultured bacterium. Its description in RNAcentral is "partial 16S ribosomal RNA". It matches the Rfam family "Bacterial small subunit ribosomal RNA", at positions 524 to 776 of the family's 1533-position model. The record is from RNAcentral.